UGUUCAGUUCUUUUGGAGUUGAGGUUGU
This 28-nucleotide non-coding RNA is filed under the name Mus musculus (house mouse). The record is from RNAcentral. Lineage: Eukaryota; Metazoa; Chordata; Mammalia; Rodentia; Muridae.